AUUGAACGCUGGCGGAAUGCUUUACACAUGCAAGUCGAACGGCAGCACGGGUGCUUGCACCUGGUGGCGAGUGGCGAACGGGUGAGUAAUAUAUCGGAACGUACCUAGUAAUGGGGGAUAACUAGUCGAAAGAUUAGCUAAUACCGCAUACGCCCUGAGGGGGAAAGCGGGGGAUCGUAAGACCUCGCGUUAUUAGAGCGGCCGAUAUCUGAUUAGCUAGUUGGUGGGGUAAAGGCCCACCAAGGCGACGAUCAGUAGCUGGUCUGAGAGGACGACCAGCCACACUGGAACUGAGAUACGGUCCAGACUCCUACGGGAGGCAGCAGUGGGGAAUUUUGGGACAAUGGGCGCAAGCCUGAUCCAGCCAUUCCGCGUGAGUGAAGAAGGCCUCGGGUUGUAAAGCUCUUUCGCAAGGGAAGAAACGAUAUAGACGAAUAAUCUAUGUUAAUGACGGUACCUUGAUAAGAAGCACCGGCUAACUACGUGCCAGCAGCCGCGGUAAUACGUAGGGUGCGAGCGUUAAUCGGAAUUACUGGGCGUAAAGCGUGCGCAGGCGGUUUUGUAAGUCAGAUGUGAAAUCCCCGGGUCUCAGCCUGGGAACUGCGUUUGAAACUACAAGGCUAGAGUAUAGGAGAGGGGGGCUAGAAUUCCACGUGUAGCAGUGAAAUGCGUAGAGAUGUGGAGGAAUACCAAUGGCGAAGGCAGCCCCCUGGCCCUAAUACUGACGCUCAUGCACGAAAGCGUGGGGAGCAAACAGGAUUAGAUACCCUGGUAG
RNAcentral lists this ribosomal RNA (775 nucleotides) under uncultured bacterium. Its description in RNAcentral is "bacterial SSU rRNA". It matches the Rfam family "Bacterial small subunit ribosomal RNA", at positions 28 to 793 of the family's 1533-position model. The record is from RNAcentral.